CAGAGGAAACUGGCCCUUUCACAUGACCAAGAUUUUGAUUUUUAGAAUACUAUUCAAGGGAAAAGAAUAUCUCCUUCUGGAAAUAAGAGGGGCCAGGGCAGUCCAUGUUGCCCCAAUUCUUGGAGGCUCCAAUGUACUCUCCACUUUCCUAAGAAAGAUAAAGACAACCUAAACUCGACUGACAAAGCCUCAACGUGCAGGGACUGUUUGUGUGCCUGAAAAGUCUGUGUCCAGACAAUUCCUGUGAUUGACAAACUGGUUGAGGAGUCAUCUCUGGAAGCAUAAAGUUUCUCUGUCCAGCAGAGCUGUGAUGUCCAACUCAUUCCCCAUCUUCUAAAGAUAGAACAGGUAAUUUUUAAAAGACUCCAGAGAACAGGUCUGAUGUGGAAUAGACCAGAGUCAGAUCCUGGAUGUGAGGCUAUUGUGUGAGCCCAGCAAGGGCACUCUUCCUCUCUCUCUAGCAGAAUAAAGUUGCAGAAAUGGA
Molecule: long non-coding RNA, 484 nt
Organism: Callithrix jacchus (white-tufted-ear marmoset)
Lineage: Eukaryota; Metazoa; Chordata; Mammalia; Primates; Cebidae
Source: RefSeq, a predicted model, not a curated record